AUGGGGAUGGGGGUGCGGGGUGCCCGGGUUCCUUGUGUGGUCNNNNNNNNNNCCCCCCCCCCCAGUGCUUGCCCCCCUCCAGCUGGGGCAGGGCACAGCCCCCGGCACAUCCUGCACUGGGUUCCUUGGGAGAGCCUCUCCCCGAGGAGGUUUCCCCCCGUUACCUUCCCCUCGUCCCCAGGGAUGUGCUGCCCUCACAGCCACCUCGUGCCCCAUGGCCGAGCCAGCCCCAUGGCACCGCCCUGCCCAAAACCCCAGGGAAAAGCCCCUGGCACUUGGAGACCCCAAUCCCCUCCGCCUGGGUGCUCUCCCCUGGGCUCCAAUCCCACCCAGAGCCAUCCUGCCAGGACGCAGCCCUGCUGUGAGCUGUGCCCAGCCUGCUCCCACCGUGCCAACUGCUCGGGAAGGGCCCAGGUUCGCCUCCCCCCUGCCAGGCUUUGGCUCAAUUUGAUAAUUAGCGGGGCGGACACGCGUCCAGCCCUUCCCCGGCUUGCUCACGCCUCUCCAGGCUGCUCAGCCCCGAGCCCUGGGCUCUGCUCGGGGUGUGGAGCUGGCUGCCAGCAUGAAUCAGCAGCACCCAGCCCCUGGAGCAGCCCCGCUGGGUUGGGGACCCGCAGGCACCCCAAACCUCUGCCACCGCUCCCCAAAGCAAUGCUGGGAGGAGGACACGGCCCCAUCCCGCAGCCCCCAUCUCCCCGCUGCCCCCUGUACCCUGCUCCCCCCACCCCAUCUCCCCUCUCCCAUCACCGGCCCCCUUUUUGGCUGCAGGCAGAGCCCGGCAACCCAUCCCUUGUGCCGUGGGGGCAGCGAUCCCUGCCUGGUGCUGGGACACCGGGAGGGCAGCGAUCAGCCCUUCACCCUCCAGCACACCGUCCACCCACUCCUCUACCUGAGCACCAGCUUUGCACGAGGACCCGACAUCGUGCUGGGGGGGAUCUCACACCCAAAUUCUCACAGGAGCAGCACCGGGGUGCUGGUGCCAUGGCGCUGGGUGCCCGCGUGCGCACAGCAGGAGGGUGCUGGGUCCUGCCUGCGGUGGAUGCAGCAUCCCCAGGGCUGCAGAGCCGGGCAGGAUGCAGCUCCCGGGGCUCCCAACGGGUUUGCAUGUGGUUGGACUCUGCUCUCGGUGCUCCCUCAGCUGUUUCGUGCCAGUUUGUCCUCGCCGUGAGCAGUUCCCACGCGGGUAUAGUGGUGGGGCUGGCAUCUGGUGCUGCACCCACUGAAAUAGCAACGCCCAGCCCCACGCUGCAACCAGGGCAGGGAAAUAACCUCCCCGCAGCACAGCACCGGAGCUGGGGCUGCUAA
RNAcentral lists this long non-coding RNA (1305 nucleotides) under Anas zonorhyncha (Eastern spot-billed duck). RNAcentral describes it as "lncRNA (ENSAZOG00000000922.1)". Lineage: Eukaryota; Metazoa; Chordata; Aves; Anseriformes; Anatidae. The record is from RNAcentral.